Molecule: regulatory RNA element, 59 nt
Organism: Firmicutes bacterium CAG:791
Lineage: Bacteria; Bacillati; Bacillota
Rfam family: pemK RNA
Source: Rfam
AUAUUUAUUUCUUCUCUACGGAGCUGGCAGAGUACCCGGCAGAGGUUAGAAUCCUAUGA